GAAGGGAUUCAAUAGAACUGCUAACUCUCGCACCUGAAAUUAAAACCUCAGACCCUUCA
RNAcentral lists this transfer RNA (59 nucleotides) under Phrynocephalus frontalis. Its description in RNAcentral is "tRNA-Ser". The record is from RNAcentral. RNAcentral also lists the same sequence under 2 other names. Lineage: Eukaryota; Metazoa; Chordata; Lepidosauria; Squamata; Agamidae.